GCACGGGUAGGGAAGCGGUCAAACCCGCAGGACUCAAGAUCCUGUCGCUUAGUGCGUUCGGCGGUUCGAACCCGCCCCCGUGCA
This 84-nucleotide transfer RNA is filed under the name Candidatus Iainarchaeum sp. Its description in RNAcentral is "tRNA-Leu". It matches the Rfam family "tRNA". Rfam says of the family: Transfer RNA (tRNA) molecules are approximately 80 nucleotides in length. Their secondary structure includes four short double-helical elements and three loops (D, anti-codon, and T loops). Further hydrogen bonds mediate the characteristic L-shaped molecular structure. tRNAs have two regions of fundamental functional importance: the anti-codon, which is responsible for specific mRNA codon recognition, and the 3' end, to which the tRNAs corresponding amino acid is attached (by aminoacyl-tRNA synthetases). tRNAs cope with the degeneracy of the genetic code in two manners: having more than one tRNA (with a specific anti-codon) for a particular amino acid; and 'wobble' base-pairing, i.e. permitting non-standard base-pairing at the 3rd anti-codon position. Lineage: Archaea; Nanobdellati; Candidatus Iainarchaeota; Candidatus Iainarchaeia; Candidatus Iainarchaeales; Candidatus Iainarchaeaceae. RNAcentral also lists the same sequence under 1 other name. The record is from RNAcentral.